GCUCCCAUCGUCUAGGGGUCUAGGACACCGCCCUCUCACGGCGGAGACAGGGGUUCGAAUCCCCUUGGGAGUACCA
RNAcentral lists this transfer RNA (76 nucleotides) under Bacillota bacterium. RNAcentral's name for it is "Firmicutes bacterium (anaerobic digester metagenome) tRNA-Glu". It matches the Rfam family "tRNA". From Rfam's summary of the family: Transfer RNA (tRNA) molecules are approximately 80 nucleotides in length. Their secondary structure includes four short double-helical elements and three loops (D, anti-codon, and T loops). Lineage: Bacteria; Bacillati; Bacillota. The record is from RNAcentral.